GGCGGAGGUCGCGGGCUGGGAAAACGCCCUCUGCGCUAGGAGAGGUGAGGGGCGUUCAGAAGUGGAGGGCAGAGGGGCUGGAGCGGGUGAUACUUGUCCGGUGUCAGGCCUUCGCGGUCCCGUGACCAGCUACGAUGCCUACCUCUGUGCCCCGCGGGGCGCCUUUCCUUCUCCUACCACCUUUACUGAUGCUGUCUGCUGUGCUGGCAGUGCCUGUGGACCGCGCAGCACCUCAUCAGGAGGACAACCAGGCCACUGAGACCCCGGACACAGGCCUGUACUACCAUCGGUACCUCCAGGAGGUCAUCAAC
RNAcentral lists this long non-coding RNA (311 nucleotides) under Rattus norvegicus (Norway rat). RNAcentral describes it as "long non-coding RNA NONRATT002653". Lineage: Eukaryota; Metazoa; Chordata; Mammalia; Rodentia; Muridae. The record is from RNAcentral.